RNAcentral lists this ribosomal RNA (256 nucleotides) under uncultured bacterium. RNAcentral describes it as "partial 16S ribosomal RNA". The record is from RNAcentral.
CUGCUGCCUCCCGUAGGAGUUUGGGCCGUGUCUCAGUCCCAAUGUGGCCGGUCACCCUCUCAGGUCGGCUACUGAUCGUUGCCUUGGUGAGCCGUUACCUCUCCAACUAGCUAAUCAGACGCGGGUCCAUCUCAUACCACCUCAGUUUUUCACACCAAACCAUGCGGUUUUGUGCGCUUAUGCGGUAUUAGCAGUCAUUUCUAACUGUUAUCCCCCUGUAUGAGGCAGGUUACCCACGCGUUACUCACCCGUCCCG